This 402-nucleotide ribosomal RNA is filed under the name uncultured bacterium. Its description in RNAcentral is "bacterial SSU rRNA". It matches the Rfam family "Bacterial small subunit ribosomal RNA", at positions 355 to 746 of the family's 1533-position model. The record is from RNAcentral.
UAGGGAAUAUUGCUCAAUGGGGGAAACCCUGAAGCAGCAACGCCGCGUGAGUGAUGAAGGUUUUCGGAUUGUAAAGCUCUGUUGUACGGGGAAAAUGUCAUUUUGGCUAACAUCCAAGAUGAGUGAUUGUACCGUAUAAGAAAGGACCGGCUAACUUCGUGCCAGCAGCCGCGGUAAGACGGGGGGGUUCCUAGCGUUGUUCGGAAUUAUUGGGCGUAAAGCGUGUGCAGGUUGUUUGAAAAGUUGGAUGUGAAAUCCUUGGGCUUAACCCAAGACGUGCAUUCAAAACUGCCAAACUUGAGUAUGGGAGAGGAUCGUGGAAUUCCUAGUGUAGUGGUGAAAUACGUAGAUAUUAGGAGGAACACCGGAGGCGAAGGCGGCGAUCUGGCCCAAUACUGACAC